GACAACAUGGCGGAGUGGUCUAACGCGGCAGACUUGAAUUUAUUACAAUCAACAUCUGUUCUCUUCGGAGGCGCAGGUUCGAACCCUGCUGUUGUCG
This is a transfer RNA of 97 nucleotides. It matches the Rfam family "tRNA". From Rfam's summary of the family: Transfer RNA (tRNA) molecules are approximately 80 nucleotides in length. Their secondary structure includes four short double-helical elements and three loops (D, anti-codon, and T loops). Further hydrogen bonds mediate the characteristic L-shaped molecular structure. tRNAs have two regions of fundamental functional importance: the anti-codon, which is responsible for specific mRNA codon recognition, and the 3' end, to which the tRNAs corresponding amino acid is attached (by aminoacyl-tRNA synthetases). tRNAs cope with the degeneracy of the genetic code in two manners: having more than one tRNA (with a specific anti-codon) for a particular amino acid; and 'wobble' base-pairing, i.e. permitting non-standard base-pairing at the 3rd anti-codon position. The record is from Rfam.